AAAUGCGCAGAGGCUGGCGGACUGGCUGCUGCCGGUGCAGGAGC
This 44-nucleotide non-coding RNA is filed under the name Heterosigma akashiwo. Lineage: Eukaryota; Raphidophyceae; Chattonellales; Chattonellaceae. The record is from RNAcentral.